GUUUGAUCCUGGCUCAGGAUGAACGCUGGCGGCGUGCCUAAUACAUGCAAGUCGAGCGAAUGGAUUAAGAGCUUGCUCUUAUGAAGUUAGCGGCGGACGGGUGAGUAACACGUGGGUAACCUGCCCAUAAGACUGGGAUAACUCCGGGAAACCGGGGCUAAUACCGGAUAACAUUUUGAACCGCAUGGUUCGAAAUUGAAAGGCGGCUUCGGCUGUCACUUAUGGAUGGACCCGCGUCGCAUUAGCUAGUUGGUGAGGUAACGGCUCACCAAGGCAACGAUGCGUAGCCGACCUGAGAGGGUGAUCGGCCACACUGGGACUGAGACACGGCCCAGACUCCUACGGGAGGCAGCAGUAGGGAAUCUUCCGCAAUGGACGAAAGUCUGACGGAGCAACGCCGCGUGAGUGAUGAAGGCUUUCGGGUCGUAAAACUCUGUUGUUAGGGAAGAACAAGUGCUAGUUGAAUAAGCUGGCACCUUGACGGUACCUAACCAGAAAGCCACGGCUAACUACGUGCCAGCAGCCGCGGUAAUAC
RNAcentral lists this ribosomal RNA (535 nucleotides) under uncultured marine bacterium. Its description in RNAcentral is "bacterial SSU rRNA". It matches the Rfam family "Bacterial small subunit ribosomal RNA", at positions 11 to 526 of the family's 1533-position model. The record is from RNAcentral.